This 560-nucleotide ribosomal RNA is filed under the name uncultured Lachnospiraceae bacterium. Its description in RNAcentral is "bacterial SSU rRNA". It matches the Rfam family "Bacterial small subunit ribosomal RNA", at positions 145 to 723 of the family's 1533-position model. Lineage: Bacteria; Bacillati; Bacillota; Clostridia; Lachnospirales; Lachnospiraceae. The record is from RNAcentral.
AACAGUCAGAAAUGGCUGCUAAUACCGCAUAAGCGCACAGAGCUGCAUGGCUCAGUGUGAAAAACUCCGGUGGUAUAAGAUGGACCCGCGUUGGAUUAGCUGGUUGGUGGGGUAACGGCCCACCAAGGCGACGAUCCAUAGCCGGCCUGAGAGGGUGAACGGCCACAUUGGGACUGAGACACGGCCCAGACUCCUACGGGAGGCAGCAGUGGGGAAUAUUGCACAAUGGGGGAAACCCUGAUGCAGCGACGCCGCGUGAAGGAAGAAGUAUCUCGGUAUGUAAACUUCUAUCAGCAGGGAAGAUAAUGACGGUACCUGACUAAGAAGCCCCGGCUAACUACGUGCCAGCAGCCGCGGUAAUACGUAGGGGGCAAGCGUUAUCCGGAUUUACUGGGUGUAAAGGGAGCGUAGACGGUGUGGCAAGUCUGAUGUGAAAGGCAUGGGCUCAACCCGUGGACUGCAUUGGAAACUGUCAUACUUGAGUGCCGGAGGGGUAAGCGGAAUUCCUAGUGUAGCGGUGAAAUGCGUAGAUAUUAGGAGGAACACCAGUGGCGAAGGCG